CGUAGGGUGCUAGCGUUGUUCGGAAUUACUGGGCGUAAAGCGCGCGCAGGCGGUUCUUUAAGUCAGGGGUGAAGGCCCAGAGCUCAACUCUGGAAUUGCCUUUGAAACUAGAGAACUUGGGUACGGGAGAGGUGAGUGGAAUUCCGAGCGUAGAGGUGAAAUUCGUAGAUAUUCGGAAGAACACCAGUGGCGAAGGCGGCUCACUGGCCCGUUACCGACGCUCAGGCGCGACAGCGUGGGGAGCAAACAGGAUUAGAUACCCUGGUAGCCACGCCGUAAACGAUGGAUGCUAGCCGUUGGUAAGCAUGCUUAUCAGUGGCGCAGCUAACGCAUUAAGCAUCCCGCCUGGGGAGUACGGCCGCAAGGUUG
This 369-nucleotide ribosomal RNA is filed under the name uncultured organism. Its description in RNAcentral is "bacterial SSU rRNA". It matches the Rfam family "Bacterial small subunit ribosomal RNA", at positions 526 to 896 of the family's 1533-position model. The record is from RNAcentral.